This is a long non-coding RNA of Ictalurus punctatus (channel catfish), 326 nucleotides long. The record is from Ensembl. Lineage: Eukaryota; Metazoa; Chordata; Actinopteri; Siluriformes; Ictaluridae.
GGCAAAGACAUGCUUCAGCAUAAGCUUCUUCAGGGAAGCUCACCGAAAGGAGUUCAAACACUAAAGACAUUAGUGUGGAACCAUGAAGAAGAAGAAGAAGAAGAAGAAGAAGAAGAAGAAGAAGAAGAAGAAGAAGAAGAAGAAGAAGAAGAAGAAGAUGAGGUGGAGGAGGAGAAAGAAAGACAAAGAAGUUGAAGAAGAUUAGAAUAAGCCUCUCUCUGUUAAUAGAUAUUUAUGAAGAUGAUUUGCUCUUUAUAAAUAGCCGAAAUGUACACUUACAGUAACAUUUUACACAUUUACACCUUCAGUAAAAUCGUAUGUGAAUU